UCGAACGAUGAAGCCCUUCGGGGUGGAUUAGUGGCGAACGGGUGAGUAACACGUGGGCAAUCUGCCCUUCACUCUGGGACAAGCCCUGGAAACGGGGUCUAAUACCGGAUACCACUCCUGCCUGCAUGGGCGGGGGUUGAAAGCUCCGGCGGUGAAGGAUGAGCCCGCGGCCUAUCAGCUUGUUGGUGGGGUAAUGGCCCACCAAGGCGACGACGGGUAGCCGGCCUGAGAGGGCGACCGGCCACACUGGGACUGAGACACGGCCCAGACUCCUACGGGAGGCAGCAGUGGGGAAUAUUGCACAAUGGGCGAAAGCCUGAUGCAGCGACGCCGCGUGAGGGAUGACGGCCUUCGGGUUGUAAACCUCUUUCAGCAGGGAAGAAGCGAAAGUGACGGUACCUGCAGAAGAAGCGCCGGCUAACUACGUGCCAGCAGCCGCGGUAAUACGUAGGGCGCAAGCGUUGUCCGGAAUUAUUGGGCGUAAAGAGCUCGUAGGCGGCUUGUCACGUCGGAUGUGAAAGCCCGAAGGCUUAACCUUCGGGGUCUGCAUUCGAUACGGGCUAGCUAGAGUGUGGGUAGGGGAGAUCGGAAUUCUCUGGGUGUAGCGGUGGAAAUGCGCAGAUAUCAGGAGGAACACCGGUGGGCGAAGGCGGAUCUCUGGGCCAUUACUGACGCUGAGGAGCGAAAGCGUGGGGAGCGAACAGGAU
RNAcentral lists this ribosomal RNA (707 nucleotides) under Streptomyces sp. ST-37. Its description in RNAcentral is "bacterial SSU rRNA". It matches the Rfam family "Bacterial small subunit ribosomal RNA", at positions 62 to 778 of the family's 1533-position model. The record is from RNAcentral. Lineage: Bacteria; Bacillati; Actinomycetota; Actinomycetes; Kitasatosporales; Streptomycetaceae.